UACGUAGGGGGCUAGCGUUGUCCGGAUUUAUUGGGCGUAAAGAGCGUGUAGGCGGCCAUGUAGGUCUGCUGUGAAAACUCGAGGCUCAACCCCGAGACGUCGGCGGAAACCAUCUGGCUAGAGUCCGGAAGAGGAGAGUGGAAUUCCUGGUGUAGCGGUGAAAUGCGCAGAUAUCAGGAAGAACACCCGUGGCGAAGGCGGCUCUCUGGGACGGUACUGACGCUGAGACGCGAAAGCGUGGGGAGCGAACAGG
Molecule: ribosomal RNA, 253 nt
Filed under: uncultured bacterium
Lineage: Bacteria
Description: partial 16S ribosomal RNA
Rfam family: Bacterial small subunit ribosomal RNA
Source: RNAcentral